This is a long non-coding RNA of Hemiscyllium ocellatum (epaulette shark), 440 nucleotides long. RefSeq lists it as uncharacterized. Lineage: Eukaryota; Metazoa; Chordata; Chondrichthyes; Orectolobiformes; Hemiscylliidae. The record is from RefSeq and is a predicted model, not a curated record. The transcript has 3 exons.
UCACGCCAGGGGUAAACAGGGAUUGUGGGAUGAGGUACAUUAGAAAUGAUUCAACAAUAAUACAGUAGUUGGUGAUUGUAACUCUCCACCUGUUGACUGGAACAAUUGGCCAGAGAAGAGACUUCUCGAUGUAAGGGGACACUGUUUGGUGACUCAAAAUGUAUAGAAACCAAGUAAAUUACUAGGUGGCACAUUUUUAAGACCAAGUGGAUCCCGUAGAUCUCCACCCAAAAACAGGAUGGCAGGAGAAAACAACCUAGCAAGAGUGGAAGGAGCCUCAUACAAUAUUGAAAGAAGAAACCUGCGACUAUGCUGGAUUGGCACAGAUAUUUUCCACUGCUAUCAAUACCGAAGGAAGUUCACAUCAUAAGGAUCAGCAAGGUUUGUAAGCAAACAUGAGCAACCACAUUGCUAUUGAGCAAUGCACUCAUGAUGCAUCU